Long non-coding RNA from Aegilops tauschii subsp. strangulata, 1613 nucleotides. RefSeq lists it as uncharacterized. NCBI's taxonomy places the organism in Eukaryota, Viridiplantae, Streptophyta, Magnoliopsida, Poales, Poaceae. The record is from RefSeq and is a predicted model, not a curated record.
CGACUAUUCUUAAGUGAAUCUUAUGUGGUAUUGCAGGACUAACUUUUCUUUAGACAAUUUUGUAAUCUUUAGUUCAUUUUGGGUCAUUUCCAUUGCCUGUUAGUGUUUUUCGCUAGAGUGCUUUGCAGGCAGUUGUUUGAAAUAGAACCUUCCAGCCAACUUACUUCUCCAAUAGUACAUUCUUGUUGAGUUUGGUUGGACGUUCUCCAAAGUAAAUUUGGGAGAACAAUAAACCAUACUUUCUAUGUUUUGAAACUAAAGCUGGCCAUGAUUAAUUCUUUUCAAGUUGAUAGUCUAUCAGAGUUUGAAUUUGCUUUUGUAUAGCAAUAUGGAAGUAUAUUAUUUCAUCAUAUUUUCCUAAAGUAGCUUCUGAUUUGUUCACAUUUGUAGAACUACACAAUCUGCACAUUCCUUCUCUUCUCCUAAUCAAUUUCAUCUCAAAUUAGGCUUUAUCCCCUGAUUAGCAUUCUGAGCUACUUAAAUUUCUUCGCCCACAUGUUUGAUUUAGGUUUUUGUUUAGACAUGACAAAUGUUUGCAAGUUAUAGACGCCACGCCUGCCGCUGUCGGGGAGCUCCUGCCUGCGCUGCAAGCCUCAUGACCUUGCAAACUCGCUCGUGCUGCUUAAACUAUAUGGCCUCUCCCUACUCAGGAUGGACUGCUUCGUGCAGAUUCACUCUUCUUUGCCUGAAGGCUCCUGUGUAUCCAGGACCGGCACAAGGAAAAUUCUGGGAUGAAGAAAAAAAGCGAAAAUGCAAAUAGAUGACAAAUCCCAACUUAUUCCUUUGGCCAUUUCUGUAACCAAAGCUAUUGGCUGGCCAACACAAAGGAGCUGAAAUUUCAUAGCGACAAAAAUAGGUGCUGGAGGUACCAUGCAAGCAAGCAUGGCGACCACGAUCAUGCUGCAGUGGCUGGGUUAUAUCCCCUCCCGCUAGCUGAGGAUGGGCUCGAUGAUGGUGCUCCUACCCUUACACAUGUAUAUUCCCACAUUGAACUCGAUUAUUGCAAUGAUUGGGUUGAUUUGGACAUACUGUGCCUUGAAUGACUUUUCCCGUUGGGCAAUUCAAAUGAUGGAAGCCUCUUCGGACCCUUCCACCUCUCCGGCCUCACCACUGGAGACUCGGAUGCGAGAACCGCCACCGCCGCCGCCGUGUCUGUCGGUGACGCUCACACAAGAAUCCAGAGGCAGUACCUUGGUCCUCUCCCUGAGAACAACAGCUCUCUCAUGAUGCGGUCGCGGCCCGAGGGUGGCGGGACUGACGCCACCGUCCAUGCCAUGUUCUGGCUGAUCCCCAAGGCUCCUUGCCGAUGUCCAACCAGCGCCACACAGCCAAUGGUACUGCUGACAUGAGGACGCCCACCCUCGAGCUUUUUGACCUGAGCCUGAUGGACAAGGUCAUACGGGCAUCUGAUUUUGAUUUGCUAUGUGCUCUCUUUUCACAAGUGUAGCUUUUUGUGUUAUAAAACUAUGCUACCGAUUGUUCUUUGUUGAUAUUUCCCUACUUGUGUCCUGAUUAAUGGAUCUGAGGUAGUUAGAAGUCACUGAAUAACUACUUAUACUAUUGUGUCAGCCGUCACUGGCUACAAUUGUUUAUAUGAUACUUGUACUAUUAUA